GCCCCUGUAGCUCAGUGGAUAGAGCAACGGUUUCCUAAACCGCAGGUCGUACGUUCGAUUCGUAUCGGGGGCG
RNAcentral lists this transfer RNA (73 nucleotides) under Acidimicrobiaceae bacterium. RNAcentral's name for it is "tRNA-Arg". It matches the Rfam family "tRNA". Rfam says of the family: Transfer RNA (tRNA) molecules are approximately 80 nucleotides in length. Their secondary structure includes four short double-helical elements and three loops (D, anti-codon, and T loops). The record is from RNAcentral. Lineage: Bacteria; Bacillati; Actinomycetota; Acidimicrobiia; Acidimicrobiales; Acidimicrobiaceae.